AAUGAACGUUGGCGGCGUGGAUUAGGCAUGCAAGUCGAGCGAGAACCGUAGCAAUACGGGGACAGCGGCGAAAGGGAGAGGAAUACGCGGGUACCUACCCUCGGAUCUGGGAUAGCCACGGGAAACUGUGGGUAAUACCAGAUAACGUCUUCGGACCAAAGGUGUGAUUCCGUCCGCGGAGGGGCCCACGUCCUAUUAGCUAGUUGGUGGGGUAAUGGCCUACCAAGGCAAUGAUGGGUACGGGGCGUGAGAGCGUGCCCCCGCUCACUGGGACGGAGACACUGCCCAGACACCGACGGGUGGCUGCAGUCGAGUGUCUUCGGCAAUGGGCGCAAGCCUGACCGGGCGACGCCGCGUGCGGGAUGAAGGCCUUCGGGUUGUAAACCGCCGUCGGAAGGGAGGAAAUGCCUAGGGGUUCUCCCCUAGGUUUGACCUAUCUUCAGAGGAAGUACGGGCUAAGUUCGUGCCAGCCGCCGCCGUAA
Molecule: ribosomal RNA, 482 nt
Filed under: uncultured bacterium
Lineage: Bacteria
Description: partial 16S ribosomal RNA
Rfam family: Bacterial small subunit ribosomal RNA
Source: RNAcentral